GGGAGCUUGCUCCCGGAUGUUAGCGGCGGACGGGUGAGUAACACGUGGGUAACCUGCCUGUAAGACUGGGAUAACUCCGGGAAACCGGAGCUAAUACCGGAUAGUUCCUUGAACCGCAUGGUUCAAGGAUGAAAGACGGUUUCGGCUGUCACUUACAGAUGGACCCGCGGCGCAUUAGCUAGUUGGUGGGGUAAUGGCUCACCAAGGCGACGAUGCGUAGCCGACCUGAGAGGGUGAUCGGCCACACUGGGACUGAGACACGGCCCAGACUCCUACGGGAGGCAGCAGUAGGGAAUCUUCCGCAAUGGACGAAAGUCUGACGGAGCAACGCCGCGUGAGUGAUGAAGGUUUUCGGAUCGUAAAGCUCUGUUGUUAGGGAAGAACAAGUGCGAGAGUAACUGCUCGCACCUUGACGGUACCUAACCAGAAAGCCACGGCUAACUACGUGCCAGCAGCCGCGGUAAUACGUAGGUGGCAAGCGUUGUCCGGAAUUAUUGGGCGUAAAGGGCUCGCAGGCGGUUUCUUAAGUCUGAUGUGAAAGCCCCCGGCUCAACCGGGGAGGGUCAUUGGAAACUGGGAAACUUGAGUGCAGAAGAGGAGAGUGGAAUUCCACGUGUAGCGGUGAAAUGCGUAGAGAUGUGGAGGAACACCAGUGGCGAAGGCGACUCUCUGGUCUGUAACUGACGCUGAGGAGCGAAAGCGUGGGGAGCGAACAGGAUUAGAUACCCUGGUAGUCCACGCCGUAAACGAUGAGUGCUAAGUGUUAGGGGGUUUCCGCCCCUUAGUGCUGCAGCUAACGCAUUAAGCACUCCGCCUGGGGAGUACGGUCGCAAGACUGAAACUCAAAGGAAUUGACGGGGGCCCGCACAAGCGGUGGAGCAUGUGGUUUAAUUCGAAGCAACGCGAAGAACCUUACCAGGUCUUGACAUCCUCUGACAACCCUAGAGAUAGGGCUUUCCCUUCGGGGACAGAGUGACAGGUGGUGCAUGGUUGUCGUCAGCUCGUGUCGUGAGAUGUUGGGUUAAGUCCCGCAACGAGCGCAACCCUUGAUCUUAGUUGCCAGCAUUCAGUUGGGCACUCUAAGGUGACUGCCGGUGACAAACCGGAGGAAAGGUGGGGAUGACGUCAAAUCAUCAUGCCCCUUAUGACCUGGGCUACCACCGUGCUACAAUGGACAGAACAAAGGGUUGCAAGACCCCAAGGUUUACCAAUCCCAAAAAUCGGUUCUCAGUUCGGAUCCCAGCCUGCAACU
RNAcentral lists this ribosomal RNA (1252 nucleotides) under Bacillus sp. NCCP-757. RNAcentral's name for it is "bacterial SSU rRNA". It matches the Rfam family "Bacterial small subunit ribosomal RNA", at positions 74 to 1312 of the family's 1533-position model. The record is from RNAcentral. Lineage: Bacteria; Bacillati; Bacillota; Bacilli; Caryophanales; Bacillaceae.